RNAcentral lists this ribosomal RNA (255 nucleotides) under Triticum aestivum (bread wheat). RNAcentral's name for it is "partial small subunit ribosomal RNA". Lineage: Eukaryota; Viridiplantae; Streptophyta; Magnoliopsida; Poales; Poaceae. The record is from RNAcentral.
AUGGAACGAUGGCCGCCGGACCUCCUCCAUGUUGGCUUCUACCAGCGUGCCCUUCCUCAUCCUCGUCGUUCAUCACCUGGCUGCCGGAGUCGCAAGAGAACGCCAAGCCCCACCAUGGUCGCCAGGGCCUUCCCCGACCUCGAUCCGCCAAGUCCGCCGGCGGGAACAGCCUUCACCGCUCGGAUCCGUCGAUCCCUCGACCUGCCGCCUCGGAUCCCGGCGACCCCAGUUCGCCGUUGCCGCGCCGAGACCUGA